This is a long non-coding RNA of Paramisgurnus dabryanus, 332 nucleotides long. RefSeq lists it as uncharacterized. The record is from RefSeq and is a predicted model, not a curated record. NCBI's taxonomy places the organism in Eukaryota, Metazoa, Chordata, Actinopteri, Cypriniformes, Cobitidae.
AAACUUUUUUUCACUACCCUUCAUACUACAGCUGUCGAAAAACCACAGCAACGUCGACAGACCUGGAGGCAUAGCUGUACUUGUUUAACUCACAACGACAACGGGUCAAUUAUGAGUGAAGAACCGUUCACCAAAUGAAGACCGCAGCCAGGUGACGGGAUUCUGUGGUAAUCGCAAACAGAGUGAAAUGCACACGGUGAGUAAUGAACGCAGACCUUCAGUGCCGGACCUCUGACCCGCUAACCUCCAUCCCGACAGCCAGCGCCUUCUCCGGAUGCCAUUGCGGUAUAGCUUCUCGGCUUUUUGGGUAAGAUCGAGUGGACACCGGGGAC